GGAAAAAUCGCCUAAUGGUAUGGCAAUAGUUUACUAAACUAUCGAAGUUAUUCAUUGUGGGUUCAAAUCCCUCUUUUUCCA
Molecule: non-coding RNA, 81 nt
Organism: Smittium simulii
Lineage: Eukaryota; Fungi; Kickxellomycota; Harpellomycetes; Harpellales; Legeriomycetaceae
Source: the annotation of a GenBank genome assembly